GUGUGCGGAUAAAGUCGUAAGACGCUUCUUGAGCGGCCUGCUCGGUAUCAGCUAGUUGGUAGGGUAAAAGCCUACCAAGGCUAUGACGCCUAGGGGAGGUGAGAGCCUGACCCCCACCGAUGGAACUGAGAUACGGUCCAUACACCUACGGGUGGCUGCAGUCGAGAAUCUUCCACAAUGGACGAAAGUCUGAUGGAGC
This 199-nucleotide ribosomal RNA is filed under the name Candidatus Taylorbacteria bacterium RIFCSPLOWO2_02_FULL_43_11. RNAcentral's name for it is "partial 16S ribosomal RNA". It matches the Rfam family "Bacterial small subunit ribosomal RNA", at positions 193 to 392 of the family's 1533-position model. Lineage: Bacteria; Candidatus Tayloriibacteriota. The record is from RNAcentral.